UACGUAGGGCGCAAGCGUUGUCCGGAUUUACUGGGUUUAAAGGGUGUGUAGGCGGUUUGAUAAGUCGGCGAUGAAAUGUCAGGGCUUAACCUUGGCGCUGUUGCCGAUACUGUUAGACUCGAGAGUGGAUGAGGGGGCUGGAAUGAGCGGUGUAGCGGUGAAAUGCGUAGAUAUCGCUCAGAACACCGAUUGCGAAGGCAGGUCCCUGGGCCACAUCUGACGCUGAGGCACGAAAGCGUGGGGAUCAAACAGG
This 253-nucleotide ribosomal RNA is filed under the name uncultured bacterium. RNAcentral describes it as "partial 16S ribosomal RNA". It matches the Rfam family "Bacterial small subunit ribosomal RNA", at positions 524 to 776 of the family's 1533-position model. The record is from RNAcentral.